RNAcentral lists this ribosomal RNA (497 nucleotides) under uncultured bacterium. RNAcentral describes it as "partial 16S ribosomal RNA". It matches the Rfam family "Bacterial small subunit ribosomal RNA", at positions 28 to 507 of the family's 1533-position model. The record is from RNAcentral.
GAUGAACGCUGGCGGCGUGCCUAAUACAUGCAAGUCGAGCGAACAGACGAGGAGCUUGCUCCUCUGACGUUAGCGGCGGACGGGUGAGUAACACGUGGAUAACCUACCUAUAAGACUGGGAUAACUUCGGGAAACCGGAGCUAAUACCGGAUAAUAUAUUGAACCGCAUGGUUCCAUAGUUAAAGACGGUUUUGCUGUCACUUAUAGAUGGAUCCGCACCGCAUUAGCUAGUUGGUAAGGUAACGGCUUACCAAAGCAACGAUGCGUAGCCGACCUGAGAGGGUGAUCGGCCACACUGGAACUGAGACACGGUCCAGACUCCUACGGGAGGCAGCAGUAGGGAAUCUGCCGCAAUGGGCGAAAGCCUGACGGAGCAACGCCGCGUGAGUGAUGAAGGUCUUCGGAUCGUAAAACUCUGUUAUUAGGGAAGAACAAAUGUGUAAGUAACUAUGCACGUCUUGACGGUACCUAAUCAGAAAGCCACGGCUAACUACGUG